Molecule: long non-coding RNA, 583 nt
Organism: Vespa crabro (European hornet)
Lineage: Eukaryota; Metazoa; Arthropoda; Insecta; Hymenoptera; Vespidae
Exons: 2
Source: RefSeq, a predicted model, not a curated record
AAGAAAGAUAGAAAAGAAAUAAAAAAAGAUAGAAGAAGAAGAAGAAGAAGAAAGAAGGAAAAGGGAUUUUUAAAGGGCCAAAUAAUAUUAACAAAGAUCUAUCCAAGAGUUAUAAUGUAAUUUUACUGAGUUCCCGCCAAUUUCUUCUUGGCGGCUGCUCGAGGCGGCCUAACGGCCGUUGGUCCGAGAUACUACCUCGAAAGUGGCAGGUGCAAGCCGGGCCAAACUUCAUUAAACACAAUCCCAUCUGCGCCCUCAUACUUCCGAGAGAAGAAGAAGAAGAAGAAGAAGAAGAAGAAGAAGAACGUCUUGUAUGCUGUGCUUGCUUUCUCCAGACGAAGAAAAAAAAAAGAAAACAAAAAAAUAGAAGAAAGAAAAAGAAAAAACAAGAUAGAGAAAAGAUGAUAACUAUUAUUAAAGAAAUUUCUUAUCUAUGAAAUAAAAGGAGUCCCUAAUGGUAAAGUGGUCCCACAAAAACCAUAACUAUCAACACGUCCUCGCUCGAAUACAUAUAUAUAUAUACACCUUACAAGGAAAAUAAAGAAAAGGUCCACUUGUUGUGUGGUGGUAGUAUGAAAGGCUA